UAACCUGCCCAAGAGAUCGGGAUAACACCUGGAAACAGAUGCUAAUACCGGAUAACAACAGAUGAUGCCUAUCAACUGUUUAAAAGAUGGUUCUGCUAUCACUCUUGGAUGGACCUGCGGUGCAUUAGCUAGUUGGUAGGGUAACGGCCUACCAAGGCGAUGAUGCAUAGCCGAGUUGAGAGACUGAUCCGGCCACAGUUGGGACUGAGACACCGGACCCAAACUCCGUACGGGAGGCAGCAGCC
RNAcentral lists this ribosomal RNA (245 nucleotides) under uncultured Lactobacillus sp. RNAcentral describes it as "partial 16S ribosomal RNA". It matches the Rfam family "Bacterial small subunit ribosomal RNA", at positions 122 to 355 of the family's 1533-position model. Lineage: Bacteria; Bacillati; Bacillota; Bacilli; Lactobacillales; Lactobacillaceae. The record is from RNAcentral.